AGGGCUUUAAGUUAACAAAAACUAAUAUCCUUCAAAGCUAUCUAUAAAGAGAUUAAUCUUUAAGUCUUA
RNAcentral lists this transfer RNA (69 nucleotides) under Paranauphoeta nigra. Its description in RNAcentral is "tRNA-Trp". Lineage: Eukaryota; Metazoa; Arthropoda; Insecta; Blattodea; Blaberidae. The record is from RNAcentral.